AUAAUUAUUAUGCAGUGUAAGCAGCGAGUGUUGCAUUUAUUAGCUUUAUUUCAUGUUUCAUUUUUUUUUAUUUAGAUAGUGCACCUUGUUAAAAAAAGUUUCGAUAUCUAGCUAGUAACGGUCGACGCGCAAUUUAUGAGCUAUAAAUAUUAAAUUAAUAGAAAAAUUAUAUUCAGCACCAUGAUUCGCUGUAGACCGAAAUAGAUAAUCUUUAACUUUAUUGUUGUGUUUAAAAAGUUUUGUCAAGUACAAAAUUAAAAAGUAACACUCUCUUUCUCUCUCUCUCUCUCUCUCUCUUAAAAAAUUUCAUAAUACUCGUAUUACUUUAAAAUGUCUUCAUGUUGCCUUAAUAUACUUUUUUUUAUUAAUGACGCGCGGAUCAAGUAAAACAAAAAAAAAUUUUGAAUAAUGCCUAAAAUUUAACUAUUUUCGAAAUUUUCAAAGUUUAUUAGUUUAGACACUUUACUUUUUAAGUCUAGUUAUUUUUUAAGUCUUAAAAUUCUUUUUUUUUUUUACAAAUAAUUUGCUAUCAUUGAUGUUGUUUUUUAUUAAAAUUUAUUUUUAUUAAUUUUUUCUCUCAUAUUAAUUAUCUUCCUACAUCUGUCACCAAUUGCACGAUAAUAUCGUCAAUAUGUGUUAACAAAAAAUAUCGUCUUUAUAUAAAAUUGUCGACCAAUAUCAGAGCGAACGUUCUGUGUCGCUUUAAUAUAAUAUUGAAGCUUUAUUUAAUCCGCAUGUAUUUGUGCUGCUACGAUUUCAGUUGAAUUUACAUUUUCCAAUAGCGGCAUUUGGCAGUUGCUCGUCGUUCACCCCCUCGGUUAAUUUUAUUGAUUCGCGAAAUGUUAUAAUUAUCACACAUUGUGUUUGCGUGUGCACCCAUCGCAUUAAGUGCAUCUAGCAUAAUAAUAGCUCGAAAAGUGACAUAUACCGCAGCAUUUAGAGAUACUGUGUUAUAUUAUAUGUAGUAUAAUAAAUAAUUACAUAUAAAUAAAUUAUAUGUAGUAUAAUAAAUAAUAUUUGAAGUAAUAUUUGUUAAAAUCUAAUGACUAUUUUAAAUUAUCUUUUCUUUAUUAGUGAAAAACAGAAACUUAUGAUAAUGUUUGUAAAAAGUUGAGAGAUUUACUACGCCGAGAAAUGAUAAAUCUCGCUUUUAUGCGUCUAUGCUUCUUCGAUCGAGAAUUUUAUCCGAUUUUUCACAGAUAAUUUUUGCGUUCGAUUCACUCAUUCAUCCCGAGCGCACAGAUACAGCAGGGGAACCGCCAUGUUAAACUCAAUUAACGAGCAAACGCACGUUUGCAAUGUUCGUCGUUGUCGCAGUCGUCAGACCGAAACAGCAUUCGAAUAAUAUCCACGACUGUAACUCGGAGUAAACAGUUACAAGGUAUAAUUGCAUAAACAUUAGAGAGACGCAACAAAAUAGAGCCGGUGGAGUUAAGGUUCUACAUUCUAAACUCCGGUGGCAACGGAGAUGGAGUCAGGAGUAGAGACGGCGGGAGAAACGGAGGGGCACUCUGUUUGUUCCUGUGUCAGAUGAUAACUACGUCGAAGUUUCUCGAGGCAUUCAUUCCCUAUAUAUAAGUAGGGAAUCCAUUUAGUUAAUUAUAAAAGAAGGUGUGGUGUCGAACGGACCAAUCCGACCGGUUCAUUUGUCCUCCAGCCUCCGUCGAGCAUUUUGAUUAUUAACGCGGUAUCCCGAUCGCGGCUCAGUGACAAAGAACCAGCUUUACGAGAACCGUCGAACGUAUCAAUACUAGAACCUGUCGAGCACAUCGAUAGUAAAUAUCAAUACCUGCGAGUCCAAGACUCGAAUGUAAUCUUGACGCAUGAGUCUGCUAAAUGUCUAUCACCAAAAUCAGCAAAUUCAAAGCUUCCGAGAACUUCUUCACAAGCGACAAGAUGUCCACAGCUAGCUUUCGUGAAUGUUGGGAUGUUUGUGCCUCCGACGUCGCUCGUAGAACGCACAAUCCCAUAAGAUCGAUUGUAGAAAAUAUCGCCACCGAUCCCAAUCCAAAGAAGCAGAUGAUCGCGUUGUCUAUUGGCGAUCCUACAACUUUCGGCAAUUUAAAACCACCGAAGGAAGUAAUUGAGGCCGUUCAGGAGAGCGUUGCUUCGCAAUUAUACAACGGAUAUGCACCGAGCAUAGGUUAUCAGACGGCGCGAGAAGCCGUAGCUGAGUACAGCUCGAACGAACUCGUGAAAGUCGAUCCCAAGGACGUAAUCCUGUGCAGUGGAUGUUCUUGCGCACUCGACUUGUGUAUUACAGCUUUAGCUCGAGAAGGCCAAAAUAUUCUAAUUCCACGGCCCGGGUUUUCCAUCUACCGAACGCUAGCGGAGGGUCUCGGUAUUAUGGUCAAAACGUACAAUUUACGUCCGGAACUCGGUUGGGAGAUCGAUCUAGACGACCUAAAGGACCAAAUCGACGAGUCGACGGCGGCGAUUGUUAUAAACAAUCCGUCAAAUCCAUGCGGCUCCGUGUUCAGCCGCGACCAUAUACUUGACAUUCUCAACAUCGCCGCACGUUACUACGUACCCAUUAUAGCCGAUGAGAUUUACGAGCACAUGGUAUUUCCAGGACGGACUUUCCACUCGUUAGCGUCUCUAUCGACCGAAGUUCCUAUUUUGUCGUGCAGCGGACUGACUAAAAGAUUUUUAGUACCAGGAUGGCGUAUGGGUUGGAUAAUAAUCCACGAUCGUCAGAACGUGCUGGAAACCGAGAUUCGCAAAGGUUUACAUUGCUUGAGCCAACGAAUAAUCGGCAGCAAUACUAUUGUUCAAGGUGCCUUGCCCAGCAUACUUAGAAAAACUCCACAGAAGUUUUUCGACGAUGUUAUUCGUACUCUACACUCGCAUUCCAAAUUGGCCUACAAGUGCAUCACAAAGAUCCCAGGACUGAAGCCAAUAAUGCCGGAUGGAGCGAUGUACAUGAUGGUCUACAUCGAUCUGCCGUGCUUUCCGGAAUUUAAUUCCGAUCUGGAAUUCGUGCAGAGACUUCUAAUAGAAGAAUCCGUGUUUUGUCUACCCGGCCAGGUUUCAGGUAGAGGGCCACUUUUUUUUCGCCACGAAAAUCUACGGAUGGAGAAAAAAUUGCGGCCGUUGUAAAUCUUGCCGCGAGGAGAUACAGCGGCGUACAGAAAUUAGAAAACACCGAACGCGAACCGCAUUGUUUCUCACAAGGGUAUGAUGAACUCUACCCACGUAAAUCUCAGAUAAUUCAAUUAGAGAUG
This 3224-nucleotide unclassified non-coding RNA is filed under the name Monomorium pharaonis (pharaoh ant). RNAcentral describes it as "tyrosine aminotransferase, transcript variant X2". The record is from RNAcentral. Lineage: Eukaryota; Metazoa; Arthropoda; Insecta; Hymenoptera; Formicidae.